UACGUAGGGUGCGAGCGUUGUCCGGAAUUAUUGGGCGUAAAGAGCUUGUAGGCGGUUUGUCGCGUCUGCCGUGAAAAUCCGGGGCUCAACCCCGGACUUGCGGUGGGUACGGGCAGACUAGAGUGUGGUAGGGGAGACUGGAAUUCCUGGUGUAGCGGUGAAAUGCGCAGAUAUCAGGAGGAACACCGGUGCGGAAGGCAGGGUCUCUGGGCCAGUAACUGACGCUGAGAGCGAAAGCGUGGGGAGCGAACAGG
RNAcentral lists this ribosomal RNA (254 nucleotides) under uncultured bacterium. RNAcentral's name for it is "partial 16S ribosomal RNA". It matches the Rfam family "Bacterial small subunit ribosomal RNA", at positions 524 to 776 of the family's 1533-position model. The record is from RNAcentral.